GAUGAACGCUAGCGGCAGGCCUAACACAUGCAAGUCGAGGGGCAGCACAGAAACAGCGCUGUUUUGGUGGCGACCGGCGGACGGGUGCGUAACGCGUAUGCAACCUACCUUUAACAGGGGGAUAACGGAGAGAAAUUUCCACUAAUCCCCCAUAACAUCGAUCAAGGCAUCUUGAUUGGUUGAAAACUCCGGUGGUUAAAGAUGGGCAUGCGUUGUAUUAGGUAGUUGGUGAGGUAAUGGCUAACCAAGCCUACGAUACAUAGGGGGACUGAGAGGUUGACCCCCCACACUGGUACUGAGACACGGACCAGACUCCUGCGGGAGGCAGCAGUGUGGAAUAUUGGUCAAUGGGGGCAACCCUGAACCAGCCAUGCCGCGUGCAGGAAGACGGCUCUAUGAGUUGUAAACUGCUUUUAAACAGGGAUAAAGCACAGUAUGUAUACUGUGUUGAAGGUACUGUAAGAAUAAGGAUCGGCUAACUCCGUGCCAGCAGCCGCGGUAA
RNAcentral lists this ribosomal RNA (502 nucleotides) under uncultured bacterium. RNAcentral's name for it is "partial 16S ribosomal RNA". It matches the Rfam family "Bacterial small subunit ribosomal RNA", at positions 28 to 523 of the family's 1533-position model. The record is from RNAcentral.